This 262-nucleotide unclassified non-coding RNA is filed under the name plant metagenome. Its description in RNAcentral is "partial contains small subunit ribosomal RNA, internal transcribed spacer 1, and 5.8S ribosomal RNA". The stretch from base 1 to 53 matches the Rfam family "Eukaryotic small subunit ribosomal RNA", at positions 1779 to 1831 of the family's 1831-position model. The record is from RNAcentral.
GGAGUAAAAGUCGUAACAAGGUUUCCGUAGGUGAACCUGCGGAAGGAUCAUUAUUGAAUGAAACACUUCUGGCUUUAUGCUGUUGUGCUGGCCCUUUGGGCAAUGUGCACACGGCUCUGGUCACUUGUUUCUUCUGUUCCACCUGUGCACUGCCUGUAGACACGCUGUGUCUAUGAUAUUUGUUAACACACAACAAUGUUGGUUGGCAUGUUAUAUAUAAUAAUAAAAUAUACAACUUUCAACAACGGAUCUCUUGGCUCUC